Molecule: ribosomal RNA, 484 nt
Filed under: uncultured bacterium
Lineage: Bacteria
Description: partial 16S ribosomal RNA
Rfam family: Bacterial small subunit ribosomal RNA
Source: RNAcentral
AUUGAACGCUGGCGGCAUGCUUUACACAUGCAAGUCGAACGGCAGCGCGGGCUUCGGCCUGGCGGCGAGUGGCGAACGGGUGAGUAAUGCAUCGGAACGUGCCCAGUAGUGGGGGAUAGCCCGGCGAAAGCCGGAUUAAUACCGCAUACGACCUGCGGGUGAAAGCGGGGGACCGAAAGGCCUCGCGCUAUUGGAGCGGCCGAGGUCGGAUUAGCUAGUUGGUGGGGUAAAGGCUUACCAAGGCGACGAUCCGUAGCUGGUCUGAGAGGACGACCAGCCACACUGGGACUGAGACACGGCCCAGACUCCUACGGGAGGCAGCAGUGGGGAAUUUUGGACAAUGGGGGCAACCCUGAUCCAGCCAUGCCGCGUGCGGGAAGAAGGCCUUCGGGUUGUAAACCGCUUUUGUUCGGGAAGAAAUCCUCUGGGCUAAUACCCCGGGGGGAUGACGGUACCGGAAGAAUAAGCACCGGCUAACUACGUG